RNAcentral lists this non-coding RNA (109 nucleotides) under human gut metagenome. RNAcentral's name for it is "ZMP/ZTP riboswitch". It matches the Rfam family "ZMP/ZTP riboswitch aptamer (pfl RNA motif)", at positions 7 to 82 of the family's 86-position model. Rfam says of the family: Previously known as pfl RNA. The record is from RNAcentral.
ACGUGCGACUGGCGGAUAAGUGGGGAACCACAGGGGAGCACGUAUCAUUUUGUCAGAGAAAUGCGCAGAGGCGCAUUUUGAGAAUAGACAUGCCGACCGCCUGGGCGCC